GCUACGGGAGGCAGCAGUGAGGAAUAUUGGUCAAUGGACGAGAGUCUGAACCAGCCAAGUAGCGUGAAGGAUGACUGCCCUAUGGGUUGUAAACUUCUUUUAUAUGGGAAUAAAACAGGGUAUGCAUACCCUCUUGUAUGUACCAUAUGAAUAAGGAUCGGCUAACUCCGUGCCAGCAGCCGCGGUAAUACGGAGGAUCCGAUCGUUAUCCGGAUUUAUGUGGUUUAAAGGGAGCGUAGGCGGAUUGUUAAGUAAGUUGUGAAAUUUUGCGGCUCAACCGUAAAAUUGCAGUUGAAACUGGCAGUCGUGAGUACAGUAGAGGUGGGCGGAAUUCGUGGUGUAGCGGUGAAAUGCUUAGAUAUCACGAAGAACUCCGAUUGCGAAGGCAGCUCACUGGACUGCAACUGACACUGAUGCUCGAAAGUGUGGGUAUCAAACAGGAUUAGAUACCCUUGUAGUC
Molecule: ribosomal RNA, 460 nt
Filed under: uncultured bacterium
Lineage: Bacteria
Description: partial 16S ribosomal RNA
Rfam family: Bacterial small subunit ribosomal RNA
Source: RNAcentral